UUUAUUAGGUUUAUAUACAACUUACAUUUAAUAGGUUUAUAUACAACAUAUUUAUAUACAAUUUAUUUAUUUCAUAUUGUAUCGGACCGUGUCAUUGCAGUCUUGUACUUUUGAAUGGUAGGUGCAGACUGACUGGAUGAUUUGGAAUCUCGCAUAGAAGCGCUACGUCUUCGCUUUAGUUCUUCUUGACGCCUAUUCUUAGCUUCCUUCUGCCGUUGUGCUAACAGCUUCGCAUACUCUGCUGCUUGUUGCUUGCGAGCCAAGCAACGCCUCUUCUUUAGAGCCAGUCUAUGCCUCUUUCUCUAUAUAAACAUAUUUUUAUUUUAUUAUAAACUCCAUAUUUUUGGAAAAUUUUAACUGAAACAAAACAACAAUACAAUAUAGAUACAUAUAUGUACAAACCUGGAGUGUAAGUGGGGUAAUAAGACGUUGAAUUUUAGGGGCUUUCGAACGCUGUGGUUUGCCCUCUUUUUGAAUUGGUCGUUUCACAACGAAUCGACGGACAUCAUCUUCCUUGGAUAAAUUAAAUAGCUUGCGAAUUUUGCUUGCUCUCUUGGGUCCUAAACGGCGUGGGACUUCCUUGUCAGUUAAAUCUGGGAUAUCCUGUAAGAAUUUAAUCAACUUAUACAUUAAAUGCU
Bombus pascuorum is the source of this 638-nucleotide long non-coding RNA. RefSeq lists it as uncharacterized. Lineage: Eukaryota; Metazoa; Arthropoda; Insecta; Hymenoptera; Apidae. The transcript is spliced from 2 exons. The record is from RefSeq and is a predicted model, not a curated record.